UACGUAGGGUGCGAGCGUUGCCCGGAUUUAUUGGGCGUAAAGGGCGCGUAGGUGGUUCUGUGUGCUCCGCGUGAAAUCGCCCGGCUCAACCGGGCGGGGUCGCGGAUGACUACAGGACUGGAGCCUGGGAGGGGGAAGCGGAAUUCCCGGUGUAGUGGUGGAAUGCGUAGAUAUCGCGAGGAACACCAGUGGCGAAGGCGGCUUCCUGGACCAGAGCUGACACUGAGGCGCGAAAGCGUGGGGAGCGAUCCGG
RNAcentral lists this ribosomal RNA (253 nucleotides) under uncultured bacterium. RNAcentral describes it as "partial 16S ribosomal RNA". It matches the Rfam family "Bacterial small subunit ribosomal RNA", at positions 524 to 776 of the family's 1533-position model. The record is from RNAcentral.